RNAcentral lists this ribosomal RNA (797 nucleotides) under uncultured bacterium. Its description in RNAcentral is "bacterial SSU rRNA". It matches the Rfam family "Bacterial small subunit ribosomal RNA", at positions 8 to 798 of the family's 1533-position model. The record is from RNAcentral.
AGAGUUUGAUCAUGGCUCAGGAUGAACGCUAGCGGCAGGCUUAAUACAUGCAAGUCGAGGGGCAGCAUGGUGUAGCAAUACACUGAUGGCGACCGGCAAACGGGUGCGGAACACGUACAGAACCUUCCUUCGAGCGGGGAAUAGCCCAGAGAAAUUUGGAUUAAUACCCCAUAGCAUAACAGAGUGGCAUCACUUUGUUAUUAAAGAUUUAUCACUUGAAGAUGGCUGUGCGGCUGAUUAGGUAGUUGGCGGGGUAACGGCCCACCAAGCCUGCGAUCAGUAACUGGUGUGAGAGCACGACCAGUCACACGGGCACUGAGACACGGGCCCGACUCCUACGGGAGGCAGCAGUAAGGAAUAUUGGUCAAUGGACGAAAGUCUGAACCAGCCAUGCCGCGUGGAGGAUGAAGGUCCUCUGGAUUGUAAACUUCUUUUAUCUGGGACGAAAAAAGGUCUUUCUAGAUCGUCUGACGGUACCAGAUGAAUAAGCACCGGCUAACUCCGUGCCAGCAGCCGCGGUAAUACGGAGGGUGCAAGCGUUAUCCGGAUUCACUGGGUUUAAAGGGUGCGUAGGUGGGUUGGUAAGUCAGUGGUGAAAUCUUCGAGCUUAACUCGGAAACUGCCAUUGAUACUAUCAGUCUUGAAUAUUGUGGAGGUUAGCGGAAUAUGUCAUGUAGCGGUGAAAUGCUUAGAUAUGACAUAGAACACCAAUUGCGAAGGCAGCUGGCUACACAUAUAUUGACACUGAGGCACGAAAGCGUGGGGAUCAAACAGGAUUAGAUACCCUGGUAGUCCAA